RNAcentral lists this ribosomal RNA (429 nucleotides) under uncultured Lysobacteraceae bacterium. RNAcentral's name for it is "bacterial SSU rRNA". It matches the Rfam family "Bacterial small subunit ribosomal RNA", at positions 355 to 776 of the family's 1533-position model. The record is from RNAcentral. Lineage: Bacteria; Pseudomonadati; Pseudomonadota; Gammaproteobacteria; Lysobacterales; Lysobacteraceae.
UGGGGAAUAUUGGACAAUGGGCGCAAGCCUGAUCCAGCCAUGCCGCGUGUGUGAAGAAGGCCUUCGGGUUGUAAAGCACUUUUGUCCGGAAAGAAAAGCAUUCGGUUAAUACCCGGGUGUCCUGACGGUACCGGAAGAAUAAGCACCGGCUAACUUCGUGCCAGCAGCCGCGGUAAUACGAAGGGUGCAAGCGUUACUCGGAAUUACUGGGCGUAAAGCGUGCGUAGGUGGUGAGUUAAGUCUGUCGUGAAAGCCCCGGGCUCAACCUGGGAAUGGCGAUGGAUACUGGCUCGCUAGAGUGCGGUAGAGGAGAGUGGAAUUCCCGGUGUAGCAGUGAAAUGCGUAGAGAUCGGGAGGAACAUCAGUUGCGAAGGCGGCUCUCUGGACCAGCACUGACACUGAGGCACGAAAGCGUGGGGAGCAAACAGG